UAGGGAAUCUUCGGCAAUGGGGGGAACCCUGACCGAGCAACGCCGCGUGAGUGAAGAAGGUUUUCGGAUCGUAAAGCUCUGUUGUUAAGGAUGAACGAGUGUGAGAAUGGAAAGUUCAUGCUGUGACGGUACUUAACCAGAAAGGGACGGCUAACUACGUGCCAGCAGCCGCGGUAAUACGAAGGUGGCAAGCGUUGUCCGGAUUUAGUGGGCGUAAAGCGAGGGCAGGCGGUCAAUUAAGUCUGAUGAGAAAGCCCCCGGCUCAACCGGGGAGGGUUAUUGGAAAGUGGUUGACUUGAGUGCAGAAGAGGAGAGUGGAAUUCGAGGUGUAGCGGUGAAAUGCGUGGAUAUAUGGAGGAACGCCAGUGGCGAAGGCGACUCUCUGGGCUGUAACUGACGCUGGGGCUCGAAAGCGUGGGUAGCAAACAGG
RNAcentral lists this ribosomal RNA (430 nucleotides) under Bacteroidota bacterium. RNAcentral's name for it is "Bacteroidetes bacterium partial 16S ribosomal RNA". It matches the Rfam family "Bacterial small subunit ribosomal RNA", at positions 355 to 776 of the family's 1533-position model. Lineage: Bacteria; Pseudomonadati; Bacteroidota. The record is from RNAcentral.